AGUUGGCUGCGACCAGCGGUGACUUACAAGUUGGCUGCUAUCGCCUGCGCCUCGGCGGGCCGGGAGGCUGAGCAGUACUUUUGAGAGCGGUGUGAGGUGCUCGGUAGCGCGCCGUAGCUGCUUCUACGUCCUUGCUUCACCUCAGGUAAAGAAAGAUGUAACUGUUUGGAGAAAACCCUCAGAAGAAUUUAAUGGAUAUCUAAUUGCUGUGUGAUGCGUUACACUACUGCUGGUCAGCUUUGGAAUAUAAUUUCACCAAGAGAAUUUGUUGAUUUCUCCUAUACUGUGGGCUAUAAAGAAGGGCUUUUAUCUUGUGGUAAUAAUCUCAACAUGUUAUGCUUUUUUUCAGUAUGGUUUAAAUAUUUGUGUUCUCUCGGCUGGAUGUUUCUUUCCUUGUGAGAUAUAUUUUCAACUCUGACUCUGUAAUCACUAACAUUUUUUGCAAAUGCUAAACUCUAGGGAGUAAAAUAACAAUAUCAAAAGAGUUUUGAAACCUUUCUGAUUAGUUUUUGUUCCCAGUUACACAGUAUCCUCUAGGUCAGAGGUAGCAAAUGGGGAUCACAUGACUGCCUCUAAGAAAGGGUUCUAGUAAAUGGAUUUUCUUCUAAGCCACUCUCAGAAAACAGUUUCUUGGUCAUACACAUAGAAAUACUAGAUUUUGUAUGUUUUAGAAUAUUCUUCCUUCCUUGAGCUGUGUUGUAUUUUUCUU
This 709-nucleotide small RNA is filed under the name Pongo abelii (Sumatran orangutan). RNAcentral's name for it is "processed transcript". The record is from RNAcentral. Lineage: Eukaryota; Metazoa; Chordata; Mammalia; Primates; Hominidae.